GACGAACGCUGGCGGCGUGCUUAACACAUGCAAGUCGAACGGAAAGGCCCUGCUUUUGUGGGGUGCUCGAGUGGCGAACGGGUGAGUAACACGUGAGUAACCUGCCCUUGACUUUGGGAUAACUUCAGGAAACUGGGGCUAAUACCGGAUAGGAGCUCCUGCUGCAUGGUGGGGGUUGGAAAGUUUCGGCGGUUGGGGAUGGACUCGCGGCUUAUCAGCUUGUUGGUGGGGUAGUGGCCUACCAAGGCUUUGACGGGUAGCCGGCCUGAGAGGGUGAACGGCCACAUGGGUACUAAGAGACGGAGCAGACGCGUAUGGGAGGCAGCAGGCGGGAAUAUGACACAAUGGGCGGGAGCCUGAUGCAACAACGCCGCGUGCGGGAUGACGGCCUGCGGGUUGUAAACAGCUUUCGCCUGUGACGAAGCGGUAGUGACGGUAAUGAGUAAAGAAGCACCGGCUAACUACGUG
Molecule: ribosomal RNA, 468 nt
Filed under: uncultured bacterium
Lineage: Bacteria
Description: partial 16S ribosomal RNA
Rfam family: Bacterial small subunit ribosomal RNA
Source: RNAcentral